Molecule: ribosomal RNA, 253 nt
Filed under: uncultured bacterium
Lineage: Bacteria
Description: partial 16S ribosomal RNA
Rfam family: Bacterial small subunit ribosomal RNA
Source: RNAcentral
UACAGAGGGGGCAAGCGUUAUUCGGAAUUAUUGGGCGUAAAGGGCGCGUAGGCGGCCUGGCAAGUGGAAGGUGAAAUCCCUCGGCUUAACCGAGGAACUGCCUCCCAAACUGCUUGGCUUGAGACCGGGAGAGGUGAGUGGAAUUCCCAGUGUAGCGGUGAAAUGCGUAGAUAUUGGGAGGAACACCAGUGGCGAAGGCGGCUCACUGGACCGGUACUGACGCUGAUGCGCGAAAGCAUGGGGAGCGAACAGG